RNAcentral lists this long non-coding RNA (748 nucleotides) under Rattus norvegicus (Norway rat). RNAcentral describes it as "long non-coding RNA NONRATT025524". The record is from RNAcentral. Lineage: Eukaryota; Metazoa; Chordata; Mammalia; Rodentia; Muridae.
GGGGUCAACAUCUACAAGGAAGGCCAGGAGGUGGCCCUGAAGCCAGACUCUGAGUACCCGACAUGGUGAGUGUGCCACACUGCCUCGGAACCUUGACACCAGCCUCUAGGAACACGAUAGUCCAGGAUAGCUCACUGGGGCCUGCUGGGCAUGCCUACCCUGGGGCCUGCUGGGCAUGCCUACCCUGGGGCCUGCUGGGCAUGCCUACCCUGGGGCCUGCUGGGCAUGCCUACCCUGGGGCCUGCUGGGCAUGCCUACCCUGGGGCCUGCUGGGCAUGCCUACCCUGGGGCCUGCUGGGCAUGCCUACCCUGGGGCCUGCUGGGCAUGCCUACCCUGGGGCCUGCUGGGCAUGCCUACCCUGGGGCCUGCUGGGCAUGCCUACCCUGGGGCCUGCUGGGCAUGCCUACCCUGGGGCCUGCUGGGCAUGCCUACCCUGGGGCCUGCUGGGCAUGCCUACCCUGGGGCCUGCUGGGCAUGCCUACCCUGGGGCCUGCUGGGCAUGCCUACCCUGGGGCCUGCUGGGCAUGCCUACCCUGGGGCCUGCUGGGCAUGCCUACCCUGGGGCCUGCUGGGCAUGCCUACCCUGGGGCCUGCUGGGCAUGCCAGAGAGUGCACAGAACCAUAUGUCCCCAAACGCUGAAGGGGCAGGGGCUCUGUUUCUUGAAGUUUAUGACUGACCCUUGGUUCAGGGAAACACAGGGCUGCUCAUCAACAGAAAUACCCACCCCCUUCCCAGAGCAAUCUGAA